Molecule: non-coding RNA, 1833 nt
Organism: Camellia sinensis
Lineage: Eukaryota; Viridiplantae; Streptophyta; Magnoliopsida; Ericales; Theaceae
Source: RefSeq, a predicted model, not a curated record
UUUGUCUACUUUGAAUCUCUCACGGGCACUAUUAAUUUCAGUAUUUCUUGAGGAAUUCCUUUUACGCACUGUUUGGUUGCUUAGAAAUUGGGGAAAACAAGAAAAGAAAAGGAAAAUUUUGAUAUACUUGUGUGUUUUCAUUUUCCUUUGCCUCAUUCUUAAUUAGUGACCUUACUCUCUGGAUGCAAUCCAUAUAGAAUGAUAGCUUUUACUUUACCUUCAUGCAAUAGAGAAUUUAUUCCUACCUAGGUGUAAUCAGAUAAAAAUAAAAUAUUAAUAUAAAUAUCACUGACAAUGAUAAGAAUAAUAAAAUUCUUCUUGCUUCCACAAUAAAUCUAGUUGCAGUGAUCUUUUCAAAUGAAACUACAAAUCUCAUAAAACUUGAUAUACCAUUUUAUAGAUCAUUGAAGUUUUAGAUUGUGAAUGGUCUUUGGCUGGUUCAUACAAAACUUGUGAAUAGACCAUAUGUAUGUUGGCCAUAUAUAAUUUAUUUGACAUUGUAUAUUGUAAUACGCAGUAAUAAAGCCAAGUUAGGACCUUGAAGGUUGUUUCAAUUAAAUAUAGAACAUAAUUUUUGGACUUAUAAAUAGGUCCUAAAUUCACAUUUUAGGUUGAAAGUAUGAUGAAAACUUUCUCUGAUGUUCUGCAAAGAUUUUUUACAUAUAGCUUGAAUUUCUAUUGAUAUUGCAACUAGGAUGAGUGAUGUAGAGAGAAUGAAAUGAAGCAAUCCAAGUUCAAGAGGAUUUGUGUCUUCUGUGGGACUAGCCAUGGCAAGAAGAGCAGCUACCAAGCAAUCUACAUUUGUGUCUUCUGAAGAAGAAUUAUUUUUAUUGGUUUCUCUCGUCUUAAUAACUAAAUUCAAAUAAUGGGGAAAAUAAAUGGUAUAUUGGCUUGAGGUGAUGCUUAUCAGUGUUGGCUUAAAAUCUCUGUGAAUCAAGAAACCCCUUUGUAGAAUAUGCAGUGCAAUAUGCCGUAGCAGCAGCCCUUGCGACAUUGGAAAAGGAUAAGAAGGAUUUGUUACACAAACUACUUUUACAAGGUCUUGACAUUACAAUCUUAGGUGGCAAUGACUUCUAUUCAUAUCGGAAUCAGGUGGAGUUUAUCAUGUGAGAUUGGAAAAGGGAAAGUUGGCAGUGGUUUUGAUGUUAGUUCUGCAGUUUAUGGUAGUCAACGAUAUGUUCGCUUUUCACCAGAAGUGCUUUCUUCUGCUCAGGAUGCUGUUUUUUUGAAUGAAUAAAAUUGCAGAAUGUAGUUAAAGGAAAAGCGUUAGAGGAAGUCAUUGGUGAUGUGCUGAAUGGAAAAUGGGACCAUGAGAGGACUACAUAUUGAAUUUGAAUCCCUUAGUAGUUGGAUUUUUCGGCUCCAAUGGAGCAGAUUUUGGAUAGACUGCAGGCAUUUGGUGAAUUUGAGUUCAAACAUUUUGGGGACAAGGUUAUUGUUGAGGAACAAAUAGAGAGGGGAUAUGAAUGAGAUAUUUCGUGGCAGUUCAUUUCUUGAAUUAAGAAGUGCAUGAUUUUAUCCUCUGGAAAAUAGCUCGCUUGAGGUCUUUCUCGUCGGAAAUAGAAAUAAUGCAUUUUUUUAUUUUUAAUGCAUUUUAAUUUUUGACAUGUGUAUGUAUAUUCUCUCUCUCGCUCUCUCUCUCACACACACACCCACACACUUUUUUGAAGUAUUAUGUUGAUCAAUAAUACCAUACUUGCUUCUUGAAACUAACAUUUGAUGGUUAAACUUUCAUUUGUAAAUUUUUUUAGAAUUGCAUAAGUUAAUGUUACAUGCCUUAAAUGCAAGCAACAAGUACGGUAGGACAAGAUUAUUUGUUGUUUAUCUUUGAAA